AGCGCUUUUGUGCCUUUGAGCUACAACUGAGUGCAGUACUUGUUCUUAUCAGUUUAAUAUCCCAUAUGCCCCCAUUGGUCGGCAACAUAUUAAACAGAUUUUUAGAACAGGGAUACGGAGAGAAGGCUUGCCCUGUCUGUUAACAUGUCUACAAAAAAUAUUGCUGUGCCUAUGUGUACGAUGCAG
Molecule: small nuclear RNA, 186 nt
Organism: Conger conger (European conger)
Lineage: Eukaryota; Metazoa; Chordata; Actinopteri; Anguilliformes; Congridae
Product: U2 spliceosomal RNA
Exons: 1
Source: RefSeq, a predicted model, not a curated record